AAAAAUGUUUCAAGUAUGUUUUAUUUGUUUAUUGUGAUGUGUUUAUAAUAUGUAAAUAAAUUUAUUACUUACAUUUAAUCACCUAAGUGCAAAUCAAAACUAUGCAAAUGUUACAUAAUUUCAUAAAAUUAUUUCAUAAAAUCACGUUUUCCAGAAUGAUGAUCUCUUACAAUUUUACUUCUUUAUGAUAUAUUUUAAACUGAUGAAAUUUUAUGGAAUAAUUUCUGAUAUCUUAUUUCUUCCUAUUUUUUUCAUUUAUAUUUUCUAUAUGCUAAUAAAAACUGUCUUCCAAAGAGGCUCUACUUAGGUUGGAGCCUGUGUGUCUUCUUUGCCUUUUUCAUUUCAUUCAUUUCCACAUCUAUUCAAUGGCCUGUUCUCUCCAUCAACCUCUUUAGAGGCUUUUAUAUGUUGCCUCCUUUUUAGUUCUUCUGUCAAAACCUUUGUUUAGACACUAUUGGCAAUCCCUAACCACACUCCUUUUUUUUAGGAGCAUUAAAAUUUUUUCCUGUUCUUCAUAGAAAUUGAGUGGCAGUUGGGGGUAUAUUAUCCCAAUAUUAAAAUAGUAUUUGCCCAGAACACAUUGGAAUACUUGAAUCCUGCCCAAGAUCAAUCCCACCCAUGCCUGCCACACCCCUCACCCUGUGUUUGCUAGGUUCCUGUGGAAGAUGCAUGUAUGAAAUGACUAAUGACAAAUGGAAGGGUGUAUUGCUUUUAUUAGGUGGAGCUUUGAACUAAAACCUUAGUGCAGAGCUUUAUAGUAGGUGGGGCUGGCCUAUGGGGAAGCCUUCUUUCCUCCGAAAAAAAUAGUCUCGUACCAUUGCAGACUGGGAGGGCAGCUUAAUUUCAUCCCCUGAAGUCUAAACUUGAGUUAGAUCUGACCACUGUUAUGUGAGGCUAGGCUGACCCUAUGCAAAUCCCUAGUGCCAGGGGAUGGAACUAUGGAGAGGUAUUGCUUUCAAACAUGUAUAAUCUUCCCCAGGAUUGCUACUCCAGAGAAAGGAGCUCGAUCAGUGAGUGACCUAUAAUCUGACCAUUCAGAUUAGCUCGUGGGCCCUGAAUUUCUGGAAGUUCAUACUCUACAACUGUACCUAGAUUAUUCAUAACAGUGCAUGACUUUAAUAUAAUUUUGAUCAAAUAUUUUAAAGUUCCUCUUGACCUGGUUCCAGCUAAGCUAUCAUUAAACAAAUAUUUCAUCCAAUAAAUAUUUAUUGAGGGCCUACUAUUUGCCAGAUACUGUUCUAUGCACCUGGGAUGUAUCUGUGAACAAAACAGACAAAAAUCCCUACUUUCUUAGCUUUCAUUCUCAAGGACAGACACUAAUAAUUAAAUAAAAAUAAGAAAUUAAAUAAUGUGUUAGCAGGUAAUAAAAGUCAUGAAGGAUACAUAAAAGAGGAUAAGGGAAGUUGGGAGUACUGGAGCUGGGGUUACAGGAGUAAGUGCAGGUUGCAGUUUUAAACAAGGAUGUCAAGGUAGGCCUUGUUGAGGAGAUACUUGAGUGGACUGGAGGAGGUGAGGGUUAGCCAAGUAGAUAUCUGGGAGAAUAACAUUCUAGACAGCCAGUGCCAAGGCCCUAAGAUGGGAGUAUGACUGAUAUGUUUAGGAAACAACAGAAUGGCCAGUGUGGCCAAAGUGCAGUGGUCAAUGUAGGAAGUAAUAGGAGGUGAAGUUAAAGAGGUAACAGGCAUGUAAAUUAUAUAGGAUCUUGUAGGCCAUAUUGGGAACUUUGGCUUUUAUUCUGAAGGAAACGGGGAGCCACGGAAGGAUUUUGAGGAAGACGCAUGAUCUGACUUGAUGUGUUUUUUUUGUUUUGUUUUGUUUAUUUUUUAUUUUUGGCUGCGUUGGGUCUUUGUUGCUGCACACGGGAUUUCUCUCUAGUUGCAGCGAGCAGGGGCUACUCUUUGUUGCGGUGCAUGGGCUUCUCAUUAAGGUGGCUUCUCUUUGUUGCAGAGCACGGGCUCCAGGGUGCGCGGGCUUCAGUAGUUGUGUCACGCGGGCUCAGUAGUUGUGGCGUGCGGGCUUAGUAGCUCCACAGCAUGUGGGAUCUUCCUGGACCAGGGAUUGAAACGUGUGUCCCCUGCAUUGGCAGGCGGAUUCUGAACCACUGCACCACCAAGGAAGUCCCGUGACUUGAUGUUUUAAAAGGAUCACUUUGCUUAUCAAAUUAUACAUGUUAAAUAUGUACAGUUAAUUGUCUAUCAGUUAUACCUCAAUAAAGCUGUUAAAAAAUAAAAUGAUCAUUCUGGUGGCAGGUCAAGAACAGAUUGUACAGAGCAAGGGUAGAAAACACAGAGACCAUUUAGAAGGCAAUCACCAUUAUCCAGGUUGAGAGAUGGUGGCGAUGGGGACCAAGAUCAUAAUAGUGGAAGAGGUGAGAAGUGGUCAGUAGAGCCUGAAAGUUUCCCGAUGAUUUGGAUAUAGCAUGUGAGAGAAAGAGAAAAAUCAAAGGUGUGUUCAUGGUUUUUGGCCUGGAACGGGAAGGAUGGAGUGGCCAUUGACUGAAAUGGGGAAGACUGCAAGUGGAGCAGGAUUACACUAGAUGUGAACAAGGUGGGAGGUUCCCAAGUUCAGUGUUGGAUGUGUCUUUGGACAUCAAGUGGAGGUGUUGAGUUAGUAUUUAAAUACAAGUCUGGGUUGGAUAUAUGAGUGGAGUCCAGAGAGAGACUGAGCCAGAGACAUAAAAUUAGUAAUUUCUCAGUAGAGAUGACAUUUAAAGUCAUGAGACUAGAUGAGAUAACCAAGGAAGUGAGUAUAGACAGAGAAGAACACCAGAGACUGAGUUCUGGGCCACACAAUACUAAGAGGCGGGCUUCCCUGGUGGUGCAGUGGUUGAGAGUCCGCCUGCCGAUACAGGGGACACGGGUUCGUGCCCCGGUCCGGGAGGAUCCCACAUGCUGCGGAGUGGCUGGGCCCGUGAGCCAUGGCCCCUGAGCCUGUGCGUCCGGAGCCUGUGCUCCGCAAUGGGAGAGGCCACAACAGUGAGAGGCCCGCAUAACGCAAAAAAAAAAAAAAAAAAAGGAAAAAAAAAAUGAAAAGGCAACCUGUGGAAUGGCAGAAAAUAUUUGUAAAUCAUGUAUCUGAUAAAGGGUUAAUUAUCCAAAAUAUAUAAUGAACUUAUACAACUCAGUAGUAGAAAAAACAAAUAAUCCAAAGGACCUGAAUAGAUAUUUUUCUAAAGAAGGCAUACAGAUGGCCAACAGGUACAUGAGAAGGCGCUCAACAUCACUAAUCAUCGGGGAAAUGCAAAUCAAAACCACAGUGAGAUAUCACCUCACACCUGUUAGAAUGGCUCUUAUCAAAAGGACAAGAGGGGCUUCCCUGGUGGUGCAGUGGUUAAGAAUCUGCCUGCCAAUACAGAGGACAUGGGUUCAAGCGCUGAUCUGAGAAGAUCCCACAUGCCACGGAGCAACUAAGCCCGUGCGCCACAACUACUGAGCCUGCGCUCUAGAGCCUGUGAGCCACAACUGCUGAGCCCAAGUGCCACAGCUACUGAAGCCUGCAUGCCUAAAGCCCAUGCUCUGCAACAAGAGAAGCCACCGCAAUGAGAAGCCCGCAUACCGCAACGAAGAGUAGCCCCCACUCGCGCAACUAGAGAAAGCCCGCACACAGCAACAAAGACCCAACGCAGCCAAAAAUCAAUCAAUCAAUCAAUAAAUUUAUAAAAAAAAAAAGACAAGAGAUAACAAGUGCUGAUGAGGAUGUGGAGAAAAGAGAACCCUGUGCACUACUGGUGGGAAUGUAAAUUGGCGCAGUCACUAUGGAAAACAGUAUGGAGGUUUUUCAGAAAAUUAAAAAUAGAGCUACCAUAUGACCCAGCAAUAUUUCUGAAGUAAAUGAAAUUACUGUCUUGAAGAGACAUCUUUACCCCCUAGUUCUUCACAGCAUUACUUGCAACAGCUGAGACAUGGAAACAUGGAAGUGCCUGUCAACAGAUGAAUACAGAAAGUGGCGUAUUACUCCCCCCUCCAACACACACAAAGGAAUAUGAUUCAGCCAUAGAAAAGGAAGGAAAUCCUGGGGACUUCCUUCCUCCAGUGGUUAAGACUCCACGUUUCCACUGCAGGGGGCACAGUUCCAAUCCCUGGUUGGGGAAGCAAGAUCCCACUGCCAUGCUGUGGCGUGGCCAAAGAAAAAAAAUGGAAGGACAUUUGCAACAACAUGGAUGAACCUUGAGGGCAUUAUGCUAAAUGAAGUAAGUCAGACAGAGAGAAAGACAAAUACUGUAUGAGCUCACUUAAAUGAGGAAUGUUAAGACAUAGAAGCAUCGAAACUAAACUCACAGGAACAGAGUAAGUUGGUGGUUGCCUGAGUUGGGGUGGCGGGGAAAUGGGUGAAGGUGGUUAAAGAGUACAAACUUACGGUUAUGAGAUGAAUAAGUUCUGGGGAUCUAAUGUGCAGCAUACACUGUAGCUGGCUGUAGUUAGCAAAAGUUAACAAGUCCCCUACAUACGAACCUUCAAGUUGCGAACUUUCAAGGAUGCGAAUGUGCAUUCCUUCAGCGUCACGUGUGAGUGAAAUUGCAGCUUGCCCUCUGUCUCCUGUUGCUGACGAUCCUUCAGCUCUACCAUCUCCCACCUUUUCUCCCUCCUCCAGUCAGUAACUCUUCUUGCCUGUUCACUCGAUGCCAGCCCCUGGAUGCCGGCUGUUGUACUGUACUACUGUACUUUUCAAGGUACUGUACUGUAAGAUUAAAAAUAUUUUCCUUAUUUUUUGUGUUUUUUUAAUGUAUUAUUUGUGUGAAAAGUAUUAUAAACCUAUUAUAGUAUGGUACUAUAUAGCCGAUUGUGUUAGUUGGGUACCUAGGCUAACUUAGUUGGACCUAACAAACAAAUCGGACUACAAACGUGCUCUCACUGUGGAACUUGUUCGUAUGUAGGGGACUUACUGUAUUGUAUACUUGAAAGUUGCCAGGAGAGUAGAUCUUAAAAGUUGUCACCACAGACACACACAAGGGCACACACACACACACAAAAGGUAACUUUAAGUUGAUGGAUGUGUUAAUGAACCUUAUUGUGGUAAUCAUUUUGCAAUAUAUACCUAUAUCAUCACAUUGUACACUUUGUUCACAUUGUGCAAUGUUAUACGUCAGUUACAUCUCAAUAAAACUGGGGAAAAAAGGACAUGAUGUGAUCAGUUGUAUCAGAUGCUGUUAAUAGGUCAAAUAAGAUGAGGGUUAAGAAUAGACUGUUUGCCAUAGUGAAAUGGAAGUCACUGAUGAAAAGUGACUUUUCUAGGUCACUUAGAAAAGGCUAGUGUUGGUAGAGGGAUGCAGGGAAGAGCCUGAUUGGGGUGGGUUUAAGACAUAAUGAGAAGAGAAGAAUUGAAGAUAAGUAUAGAUGAUUCUUUAAUAUAUAUAUAUAUAUAUAUAUAUAUUUAAGUAUAUUAUAUAUAUAUAUAUAUAUAAAAUGGUGAAAUACACUAUUAGUACAUUCACAAUGUUGUAUAACCACCACCACUGUCUACUUACAGAAUAUUUUCGUCACCCUAGAAGGAAACCCCGUACCCAGUAAGCAGUCAUUCCCCGUUCUCCCCUUCCCCUAAUCCUUGUAACCACUAAUCUACUUUGUCUCUGUGGAUUUGCCUGAUUUGGAUAUUUCAUAUAAAUGGACUCAUAAAAUAUGUGGCCUUUUGUUUCUGACCUGUUUCACUUAGCAUAAUAUUUUCAGAGUUCAUCCAUGUUGUACUAUGUAUUGGUACUUCAUUUUUAUGCCUGAAUAAUAUUGCAUCAUAUGGAUAUACUACAUUUUGUUUGUCCAUGCAUCAGUUGAUGGACAUUUUGAGUUGUUUUCACCUUUUGGCUAUUGGGAAUAGUGCCACUAUGAACAUUCAUGUAUACGUUUUUGUUUGAACACUUGUUUUCAGUUCUCUUGGGUCUCCAGGAGUGGAAUUUCUGGGUCAUAUAAUAAUUCUGUAAACUUACUGUGGAACCACCAAACUAAUUUCCACAGUAGCUAUCCCAUUUUAUAUUGUCACCAGUAAUUAUACGUGUUCCAAUUUCUCUGCAUCCUUGUCAGCACUUGUUAUUGUCUGUUAUUGUUUUUGCCAUCCUAGUAGGUGUGAAGUAGUAUCUCAUUCUGGUUCUCAUUUGCGUUUCUCUAAAGACUAAUGAUGUUGAGCAUCUUUUUAUGUCCUUGUUGGCAAUAUGUAUAUCUUCUUCAGAGAAAUGCCUAAUACUUAAAUCCUUUGUCCAAUUUUUAAGUGGUUGUUUCUCUUUCUUGUUGAGUUUUAGAAGUUCUUUAUAUAUUCUGAAUAUUAAACCUUUAUCAGAUAUAUGAUUAACAAAUACUUUCUUCCAUUCUUUGGAUUUUCUUGAUAGUGUUCUUUGAUGCACAGAAUUUUUAAUUUGAUGAAAUCCAAUUUAUCUAUUCUUUCUUUUGUUGCUUGUGCUUUUGAUGUUGUAUCUAACAAACUAUUGCCAAAUCCAAGGUAAUAUUUACCCUCAUAUUUCUUCUAAGAACUUAUGGAUUUAGCUCUUAUAUUUAGGUUUUUGAUCCAUUUUGAGUUCAGUUUUGUAUAUGGUGUGAGAUAGGUAGGCAGUUCUUUAGAUGAGUUUUGCCAAAAAGGAGAGCAGAGAAAUUAAGCAAUAACUGGUAGAGAAAGUGGGGUCAAAGAGGUUUGUUAUUUGUUUUCAGAUAGGAGAGAUAAUGGCAUGGGAAUGGUCAGUAAGAGGGAACAUUGAUGAUACAGGAGAGGUAAGAGUUGCUGGAGCAGUGUCCUUCAGAGACAGAGGUGGAGUAGGAUCUAGAGCACAAAUGGAAGGAUUGGCUGUGGACAGAUGCAUGAAUCAUUCAUCUUAAUAAAAAGAGGGAACACACUGUAUCAGUACAGAUGCUGGGAAGAGAGUAGAUGUGAUGGUGACAUCUGUGAAAGUUCUCUUUUAAUUGCUUUAGUUUUCUUAUUGAAAUGGAGGACAAAGUCAUUAGGAAAGAGUGGGUUAGAGCUGUUGGGAAUAUGAGAAGAGAGGAGAAGGUGGAAUUAUCUUUGUAAGGAGACACAGAGUAUGAACAGACUAGGGAAAUAUAUACUAAUUGCUGGACACUUGAAUAUCAUGAUCAUGUAUUUAAAGUGAGAAUAGUUAGUGCGGGUAAAUGUUUUCCUCCAGAGCAGUUGCUCAGUAAGGCCAGAGUAAGUGCAGGUGGAGAGUUGGGUAUUUCCAGGUUUAUGGUUUUGUCUAGUGAGGAUAACUCAUUUGCUUGGGAUUUGAGAUUGAAUACAUGGGAGUGAUUAUGAUUGAUCUUAGAAUUUAACCUGGGUAAGAAGGGAAAAGGCCAUUAAAAUAGUGAGGCAAAGUGAAAAUGUGCUAGGAACAAUGGAUCGAAGGUCUUGGGGGGGAUUGUUGGAGUACUGAAAAGGUAGGAGAUAGUAGUCAGAAUGCAACUGAUGAGUUGUGAUUAUGGAGGGCUUACAGUCUAGCAUAUGACCCUAAGUGCAGGACUGAAGAUGAGAUCACUAGAAGAGAAGAGUUCCAGCAAAUGAGAGGUCUGGGUGUUGGAAGAUCAUCUAUGUGUACGUUAAAAUUGCCAAGAAUUGAGAUGAGUAGGGUUGUAGACAGUGACAGUGUGUAAGAAGUUGAAAUUAUUGAGUAAUGAGUGAAGUGAUCCUUGAGGCUGGUGGAUGAUAACAAAGAUGAGGAAUAAUAGGGGAUAUACAGCCAGAUGACAGGAGAUUCAAAGCUGGAAAUUGUUAAGGUGGGGAGAGGGAGAGUAGUGUGGAAGUACUGAUGAAGAGCAAAGAGGUUAUGUCCCUUCUCAGGGCCUUUAAAUUGUUUGAAGGCUGUGGAAACAAUAGCAGAACAGGCACAAUGGACAGGGCAGAGGGGCAGCAUUUUCCUUAGCGGGAGAGAACCAGGAUUUGUUUUGAACAAGGUGGUGAAAGGAAGGGUUCAGAGAAGAGGUUGAGGUUGUGGGCGAUUUUGCAGCUUGAUUAUAAAUAUUAAGUACCUAGAAGUUAAGGGCUGAGUUACAUUCAUCACUGCAUUCCUUUCAGAGCAGUGCUUUUACAUACUACAUUUUCAAUAAAUGCUUAUGUUCAGUAAAUGAAUACCGAAUGAUUAAGUGGGAAAGAAUUAAGACCUAGAAACAGAAAAUAAUGUUUAUUGAACACCUACUGUGUGCUUGUAAUUAACAAAAAUACAUUCCAAUUAUAAAAGCAUAAAGCAAUGAAAUUGAAAGUCCUCUAGUAUUUUCUUUUAGUGCAGUAGUUUUCAAUCAGUUUAUAAACCUAGGCCUCCCAUCUCAUACUCUAGCUGACAUGAGGAAGAGUCAUCCUUCUAAGAAAGGAGAAUACUUAAACCUUUUAAAAUAAGGAGACCAAUAAUAAUAACAACAAAAAUAAUUAUUCAACAACUACCACCAUU
Orcinus orca (killer whale) is the source of this 8353-nucleotide long non-coding RNA. RefSeq lists it as uncharacterized. The transcript is spliced from 2 exons. The record is from RefSeq and is a predicted model, not a curated record. Lineage: Eukaryota; Metazoa; Chordata; Mammalia; Artiodactyla; Delphinidae.